GGAUUGUGGCUCAAAGGUUGAAUGCUUGCCUAGCAUGCGUGAGGCACUGGGUUCGAUCCUCAGCACCA
This 68-nucleotide transfer RNA is filed under the name Marmota monax (woodchuck). RNAcentral's name for it is "tRNA.Ala". Lineage: Eukaryota; Metazoa; Chordata; Mammalia; Rodentia; Sciuridae. The record is from RNAcentral.